RNAcentral lists this ribosomal RNA (439 nucleotides) under uncultured bacterium. RNAcentral's name for it is "partial 16S ribosomal RNA". It matches the Rfam family "Bacterial small subunit ribosomal RNA", at positions 29 to 507 of the family's 1533-position model. The record is from RNAcentral.
AACGAACGCUGGCGGCAUGCCUAACACAUGCAAGUCGAACGAGACCUUCGGGUCUAGUGGCGCACGGGGGCGUAACGCGUGGGAACCUGCCCUUAGGUUCGGAAUAACUCCCCGAAAGGGGUGCUAAUAACGGAUAAUGUCUUCGGACAAAAGAUUUAUCGCCUUGGGAUGGGCCCGAGUUUGAUUAGCUAGUUGGUUGGGUAAAGGGCUAACAAGGCGACGACGGGUAGCUGGCCUGAGCGGGUGAUCAGCCACAUUGGGACUGAGACACGGCCCAGACUCCUAGGGGGGGCAGCAGGGGGGAAUGUUGCAAAAUGGGUGGAAGCCUGAUGCAGCAACGCCGUGUGCGGGAGGAAGGCCUUCGGGUUGGAAACCGCUUUCGCUCAUGACGAAGCUUUGUGUGACGGUAGUGGGUAAAGAAGCACCGGCUAACUACGUG